UUGACCUCAAAUCAUGUAGGACUACCCGCUGAACUUAA
This 38-nucleotide ribosomal RNA is filed under the name Amanita pupatju. Its description in RNAcentral is "partial 28S ribosomal RNA". Lineage: Eukaryota; Fungi; Basidiomycota; Agaricomycetes; Agaricales; Amanitaceae. The record is from RNAcentral.